UUUCUAGGGUUUUACCCUUUCCU
This 23-nucleotide small nuclear RNA is filed under the name Arabidopsis thaliana (thale cress). RNAcentral's name for it is "snRNA_03592". The record is from RNAcentral. Lineage: Eukaryota; Viridiplantae; Streptophyta; Magnoliopsida; Brassicales; Brassicaceae.